CUUUCAGCUUGUUGGUGGGGUAAUGGCCUACCAAGGCGACGACGGGUAGCCGGCCUGAGAGGGUGAUCGGCCACACUGGGACUGAGACACGGCCCAGACUCCUACGGGAGGCAGCAGUGGGGAAUAUUGCACAAUGGGCGGAAGCCUGAUGCAGCGACGCCGCGUGGGGGAUGACGGUCUUCGGAUUGUAAACCCCUUUCAGUAGGGACGAAGCGCAAGUGACGGUACCUGCAGAAGAAGCACCGGCCAACUACGUGCCAGCAGCCGCGGUAAUACGUAGGGUGCGAGCGUUGUCCGGAAUUACUGGGCGUAAAGAGCUCGUAGGCGGUUUGUCACGUCGUCUGUGAAAUCCUCCAGCUUAACUGGGGGCGUGCAGGCGAUACGGGCAGACUUGAGUACUACAGGGGAGACUGGAAUUCCUGGUGUAGCGGUGAAAUGCGCAGAUAUCAGGAGGAACACCGGUGGCGAAGGCGGGUCUCUGGGUAGUAACUGACGCCGAGGAGCGAAAGCAUGGGUAGCGAACAGGAUUAGAUACCCUGGUAGUCCAUGCCGUAAACGGUGGGCGCUAGGUGUGGGGUCCUUCCACGGAUUCC
RNAcentral lists this ribosomal RNA (593 nucleotides) under uncultured Dietzia sp. Its description in RNAcentral is "bacterial SSU rRNA". It matches the Rfam family "Bacterial small subunit ribosomal RNA", at positions 238 to 842 of the family's 1533-position model. The record is from RNAcentral. Lineage: Bacteria; Bacillati; Actinomycetota; Actinomycetes; Mycobacteriales; Dietziaceae.